RNAcentral lists this ribosomal RNA (253 nucleotides) under uncultured bacterium. Its description in RNAcentral is "partial 16S ribosomal RNA". It matches the Rfam family "Bacterial small subunit ribosomal RNA", at positions 524 to 776 of the family's 1533-position model. The record is from RNAcentral.
UACGUAGGGUGCGAGCGUUGUCCGGAAUUAUUGGGCGUAAAGGGCUCGUAGGCGGUUUGUCGCGUCGGGCGUGAAAUCCACUGGCUUAACUGGUGGCUUGCUUUCGAUACGGGCAGACUGGAGGUAUGCAGGGGAGAACGGAAUUCCUGGUGUAGCGGUGAAAUGCGCAGAUAUCAGGAGGAACACCGGUGGCGAAGGCGAUCACCUGGGGUUGUUCUGACGCUGAGGAGCGAAAGCUAGGGGAGCAAACGGG